RNAcentral lists this non-coding RNA (28 nucleotides) under Mus musculus (house mouse). Lineage: Eukaryota; Metazoa; Chordata; Mammalia; Rodentia; Muridae. The record is from RNAcentral.
UACUUUUUCCUUUUGCUUGGUCCAGAUA